ACCUGCACAGCAGAAUGACCCGCGAACUCGUCAAGAAAACCGGGGGACGCCGCACGGCAGCCCCCUCGUUGGUGCGUGCAACCCUUGGGAGUGCGCAUCGGCACCAAACAAACCCCGGCGCGGUCCGCGCCAAGGAAAACAUAACUCAAAGAGCACCCCCCCCUUCCAGUCACCCCGUUCGCGGAGCGUGCGUGGUUGGGCGGUUGGUUCUUAGUGAAAAACACAAACGACUCUCGGCAACGGAUAUCUCGGCUCUCGCAUCGAUGAAGAACGUAGCGAAAUGCGAUACUUGGUGUGAAUUGCAGAAUCCCGUGAACCAUCGAGUCUUUGAACGCAAGUUGCGCCCGAAGCCAUUAGGCCGAGGGCACGUCUGCAUGGGCGUCACGCAUCGCGUCGCCCCCCUCACCACAAAAAGGGAAGAGGGGGAGCGGACAAUGGCCUCCCGUGCCCUCAAGUGCGGUUGGCUCAAAUUGGAGUCCCCCGAAGGAGGACGCACGACAAGUGGUGGUUUAUUACAAGGCCCUCGCGUCGAGUCGUGCGCAUGUCCAACUCUGGGAUUUGGCUCUCGCGACCCUGAUGUGCCUUGAACGUAGGCGCUCCGACCGCGACCCCA
Molecule: ribosomal RNA, 613 nt
Filed under: Cyananthus hookeri
Lineage: Eukaryota; Viridiplantae; Streptophyta; Magnoliopsida; Asterales; Campanulaceae
Description: eukaryotic LSU rRNA
Rfam family: 5.8S ribosomal RNA (bases 229-384)
Source: RNAcentral